RNAcentral lists this small RNA (48 nucleotides) under Histoplasma capsulatum. RNAcentral's name for it is "hypothetical RNA". The record is from RNAcentral. Lineage: Eukaryota; Fungi; Ascomycota; Eurotiomycetes; Onygenales; Ajellomycetaceae. RNAcentral also lists the same sequence under 1 other name.
ACAGUGUAAAGUAACUAAUUUGCUAAAUACUAUAUGGAAUCAGAACUA